GCCGGGUGGGACUUGCUUCUGGGUGUUGGAGGAGGAAGGAGCUUGUCAGCCCAGUCUGGUGUGGUGGCCCUCUUUCUUGGGUCAGCCUGAAGAUUCAAGUCCAAUCUCUUCUGAAGCUUUUGGGCCACUGAAGCCACUGACUACAUUGGACCAAUGAGGCAACAUAUAGUUAGAGUACCAGGCCUAGAGACAAUAAAAACAGAAUCAUUCAAAUAUAUCCUCAGACCUUUACUAGCUGUGACCCAAGGAUAAAUUACAUAUGGUCUCAGAGUGAAGGCACCAGGAUUAAGGAAGACAGAAGAAAGACUUCUUGCAGAAGAUGGGGCUUUAGCUGAGACUUAAUGGAAGACAAUGAAGCCAGUGGAUGAGGUGAAGAGAGACAGAAUUUCAGUUAUUGUGCAUAGCCCAUAAAAAUGUCAAGAUUCAGAAGGUAGUCUCAAGGAACCACAAAGGGAUUAGUGUCACUGCACUGGAGAACUCUUGGAUGUGAAGGGAUGGAGGAUCAGGAGCCAGGAAGAAAGAAUUUCAACAUGUCCGUUGAUUUCCAGCACCUGAAUCUUCAAAGAAUAAUAAAAAAUUUCUCAGAUGAAAUAAUUCCUCAAUUGAGAGAUGUCAUUUUAUUUGAAAGUCUCAGAGUUCACUGCUCUCUUCACUUUUGUAUAUUUUGAGAGAUAAACUAACCUGUAUAGCUUCCCAAUUACUGUCUUCUUAUUAUAAUGAUAAUAAAUAUGCUUGCAAUAUAUGAAUGUCUUUUAUG
RNAcentral lists this long non-coding RNA (757 nucleotides) under Monodelphis domestica (gray short-tailed opossum). RNAcentral describes it as "lncRNA (ENSMODG00000030828.2)". Lineage: Eukaryota; Metazoa; Chordata; Mammalia; Didelphimorphia; Didelphidae. The record is from RNAcentral.